AGAGUUUGAUCAUGGCUCAGAACGAACGCUGGCGGCAGGCCUAACACAUGCAAGUCGAGCGCCCGCAAGGGAGCGGCAGACGGGUGAGUAACGCGUGGGAACGUGCCCUUUGGUUCGGAAUAUUCCCGGGAAACUGGGAGCAAAACCGGAUAAGCCCUUCGGGGGAAAGUUUACGCCAAAGGAUCGGCCCGCGUUAGAUUAGGUAGUUGGUGGGGUAACGGCCUACCAAGCCUACGAUCUAUAGCUGAUCUGAGAGGAUGAUCAGCCACACUGGGACUGAGACACGGCCCAGACUCCUACGGGAGGCAGCAGUGGGGAAUCUUGGACAAUGGGCGCAAGCCUGAUCCAGCCAUGCCGCGUGGAUGACUGAAGGCCCUAGGGUUGUAAAGUCCUCUCGACGGGGACCAUAAUGACGGUACCCGUAGAAGAAGCCCCGGCUAACUUCGUGCCAGCAGCCGCGGUAAUACGAAGGGGGCUAGCGUUGUUCGGAUUUACUGGGCGUAAAGGGCGCGUAGGCGGAUUUUUAAGUCGGGGGUGAAAUCCCGGAGCUCAACCCCGGAACUGCCUUCGAUACUGGAAGUCUGGAGCACGGUAGAGGUGAGUGGAAUUCCGAGUGUAGAGGUGAAAUUCGUAGAUAUUCGGAGGAACACCAGUGGCGAAGGCGGCUCACUGGACCGUUGCUGACGCUGAGGCGCGAAAGCGUGGGGAGCAAACAGGAUUAGAUACCCCGGUAGU
RNAcentral lists this ribosomal RNA (735 nucleotides) under uncultured bacterium. RNAcentral's name for it is "bacterial SSU rRNA". It matches the Rfam family "Bacterial small subunit ribosomal RNA", at positions 8 to 794 of the family's 1533-position model. The record is from RNAcentral.